AAUAUAUUACCUCCAUCCCAAAUUACUUGUCUUAGAUUUGUCUAGCUACGGAUGUAUCUAACACUAAAACGUGUCAAGAUACAUCCAUAUCUAGACAAAUCAGAGAGAAGUAAUUCGGGGCGGAGGGAAUAUAAA
This is a non-coding RNA of Hordeum vulgare subsp. vulgare (domesticated barley), 135 nucleotides long. Lineage: Eukaryota; Viridiplantae; Streptophyta; Magnoliopsida; Poales; Poaceae. The record is from Rfam.